CCGGGCUCUUCCCCGUCGCGGCUGCGAGGGAGCGCCCGGGGUCGUCGGCGUCGCUCAGGUUUUUCUCUGGGGGCGCUUACUCCCAAGGCGUCUCUGCAACGUCGCUCCUUCCACCGCUAGGCCCAGGCCAGAGGCAUACAACGUGCAGGAGGCCCGAGGUGGGGCCAUGCGUGGUGCUGCCUCUGUAGGGGUAGACGCAAGUGUCUUUCAGCGAGGUUACAGCGGUGUGGUAAGAAGAGAUUAUGUUUCUGUGAGCGUCGAGGAUGACGUUGAAGCAGUGAUUAUUGACAAUUCUGAAGUGGAAGAUGGAGAAAACGGACUGUCCACACAAAGCUGCAUGUCAAUGGAACAGAACUCUGAAGUAAACAGUGAUGUUCACCAUGUGGCUCAACUUGCAUACGGAAGUGAAGGCUUAUCAGUGCUGGCUGAACGAGUGGUAUCACAGAUGAGCCAUUCUGCAAGUAUGCAGAGAGGAAAUCCUCGCACCCCUGAAAAAAUGGAUUACAUGUUUUCACAUAACAAGAGAAAACGACUUGCCCCUACUCUAGUGGGACAGAAUGUGGUAUGUGCAGCCAAACGAUAGUCCUUUCUUUUAAGGCCGCUACUUUGGAAAUGCCAUUUCUUGACAGUGAUCUCAUGGAAUGAGGUUGGAUAAGAGAAGUAAUGUGGGGUGGGAUAUCCACCUGGAGUGUCUGGAAGCUUCUAGCAGGGACAAAAUGUGUGCUGGAUACUGUAUGAGUGUUUAAAAACAACUCGUCCAAACAGGAAGGUAACUUGCACUAUUUCCCACGUGGAUGCUCUUAUUUAGAAGUAAAUAUGUCUUUGUGUAGUAAUUUAGGAUAAUAGACUUGAAACUUUAAUGUUGAAUAAAGAUUUGACUCCAUGAACA
This 889-nucleotide long non-coding RNA is filed under the name Struthio camelus australis. RNAcentral describes it as "lncRNA (ENSSCUG00000007634.1)". Lineage: Eukaryota; Metazoa; Chordata; Aves; Struthioniformes; Struthionidae. The record is from RNAcentral.